UAUUAAUAACUGACCGUUAUUCUCUGCCCUAAUCAAUCAGAGUUCAGAUCGUCGGCAAAGACAACACAGAAACGCACGGUCAGCCUCGGCGGGCAACCCGCUUGAGUGCAUGUGCUGAUGUCAUCAGGUAAGUCUCGGUGGUUUACAUUCUCUUCAAACCCUUUUCGGCCUUUUGGACCUGUCGCUUUCAAGUCGACCCCCAAACCUCACCUCUCCUCUCUUCUCUUCUCUACUAAUUAAACCUCCUGAGCAGCACUUCCACACUCACUCCCUUCCUUCAGACUUUGGUCCCUUCUCUCUCUCUCUCUCUCUCUCUGAUUUAUGGGAGAGAGAGAGACAGGUUUUCAGGUUGCAGAGAAGAAAGCAGGAGAGAAGUUUACAAUUCAUACACAGUCAAGCUCGUUUACCCAAGAAUCCAUAAUCAUGUAUUGGUUUAAAGCUUCAAGUGUCAGAAUCUUUUGCAGGAAUGGAAACUUCUUUGAUGAGAUGAUCUUAACAAAUUUUUGGUAUCUCACUCAAGAUUUUCCGGUGAUGAUGUCGAUUUGGUCACCUUGACUAGGUGCUAUCCUACCUGAGCUUUUUUUUUUUUUUUUUUUUCUUUCUGUUAUAUUCUAUUAUUUCUUCUUGUGUCUUCUUGACCUUGUAAGACCUUUUCUCACAGUUGUCAUCUUCGUUCUCCCUUCACAUUUAAACUCUCUAUCUUCAAUUACAGACGGAGAGUUUAGCUUUAAACUUUCCCUGUACCCGCCCAACUCACCACCUCUCUUCCUGUCUAUCCCUCCUGAGCUUUUCCUUUCUCUUGUUGUAAAAGCCUUGUGCUUCUCACUUGUUUGUAAAAAUUCUUACUUUUUAGGAUUUCCUUUUUGGUUCGAUUUUAGGGCAUUGGAUAUGUUCUUUGUAUUAUGCGUGCAGAAAUAUGCGUUUUGCAGACUUCAAUUUUGUUGUUUUAUAUGCUGUUACCUGAUGUAAUAAUACAGAGAUAUAUAUUCUCUC
Telopea speciosissima is the source of this 993-nucleotide long non-coding RNA. RefSeq lists it as uncharacterized. The transcript has 2 exons. The record is from RefSeq and is a predicted model, not a curated record. NCBI's taxonomy places the organism in Eukaryota, Viridiplantae, Streptophyta, Magnoliopsida, Proteales, Proteaceae.